AGAGUUUGAUCAUGGCUCAGGAUGAACGCUGGCGGCGUGCUUAACACAUGCAAGUCGAACGAUGAAGCCCAGCUUGCUGGGUGGAUUAGUGGCGAACGGGUGAGUAACACGUGAGCAACCUGCCCCUGACUCUGGGAUAAGCGCUGGAAACGGCGUCUAAUACUGGAUAUGUCCCAUCACCGCAUGGUGUGUGGGUGGAAAGAUUUUUCGGUUGGGGAUGGGCUCGCGGCCUAUCAGCUUGUUGGUGAGGUAAUGGCUCACCAAGGCGUCGACGGGUAGCCGGCCUGAGAGGGUGACCGGCCACACUGGGACUGAGACACGGCCCAGACUCCUACGGGAGGCAGCAGUGGGGAAUAUUGCACAAUGGGCGGAAGCCUGAUGCAGCAACGCCGCGUGAGGGAUGACGGCCUUCGGGUUGUAAACCUCUUUUAGCAGGGAAGAAGCGAAAGUGACGGUACCUGCAGAAAAAGCACCGGCUAACUACGUGCCAGCAGCCGCGGUAAUACGUAGGGUGCAAGCGUUAUCCGGAAUUAUUGGGCGUAAAGAGCUCGUAGGCGGUUUGUCGCGUCUGCUGUGAAAUCCCGAGGCUCAACUUCGGGCUUGCAGUGGGUACGGGCAGACUAGAGUGCGGUAGGGGAGAUUGGAAUUCCUGGUGUAGCGGUGGAAUGCGCAGAUAUCAGGAGGAACACCGAUGGCGAAGGCAGAUCUCUGGGCCGUAACUGACGCUGAGGAGCGAAAGGGUGGGGAGCAAACAGGCUUAGAUACCCUGGUAGUCCACCCCGUAAACGUUGGGAACUAGUUGUGGGGUCCUUUCCACGGAUUCCGUGACGCAGCUAACGCAUUAAGUUCCCCGCCUGGGGGAGUACGGCCGCAAGGCUAAAACUCAAAGGAAUUGACGGGGACCCGCACAAGCGGCGGAGCAUGCGGAUUAAUUCG
Molecule: ribosomal RNA, 936 nt
Filed under: uncultured Microbacterium sp.
Lineage: Bacteria; Bacillati; Actinomycetota; Actinomycetes; Micrococcales; Microbacteriaceae
Description: bacterial SSU rRNA
Rfam family: Bacterial small subunit ribosomal RNA
Source: RNAcentral